UGGGGAAUUUUGGACAAUGGGCGAAAGCCUGAUCCAGCCAUUCCGCGUGCAGGAUGAAGGCCCUCGGGUUGUAAACUGCUUUUGUACAGAACGAAAAAGCUCUGGCUAAUACCUGGAGUCCAUGACGGUACUGUAAGAAUAAGCACCGGCUAACUACGUGCCAGCAGCCGCGGUAAUACGUAGGGUGCAAGCGUUAAUCGGAAUUACUGGGCGUAAAGCGUGCGCAGGCGGUUUUGUAAGACAGAGGUGAAAUCCCCGGGCUCAACCUGGGAACUGCCUUUGUGACUGCAAGGCUGGAGUGCGGCAGAGGGGGAUGGAAUUCCGCGUGUAGCAGUGAAAUGCGUAGAUAUGCGGAGGAACACCGAUGGCGAAGGCAAUCCCCUGGGCCUGCACUGACGCUCAUGCACGAAAGCGUGGGGAGCAAACAGG
Molecule: ribosomal RNA, 429 nt
Filed under: uncultured bacterium
Lineage: Bacteria
Also listed under: 1 other name
Description: bacterial SSU rRNA
Rfam family: Bacterial small subunit ribosomal RNA
Source: RNAcentral